Molecule: long non-coding RNA, 340 nt
Organism: Equus quagga
Lineage: Eukaryota; Metazoa; Chordata; Mammalia; Perissodactyla; Equidae
Exons: 2
Source: RefSeq, a predicted model, not a curated record
CACACACCAGGGGCCAAGCACCCACUAAGCACCUUAUUUAUUUCAGUUCCAGCCUCAGGACAAUCCCCCCAGAAGCUACCUUGCUGUACCUAUUUAAUGGAUGAAGAAGCUGAGUCGGGGAAAGGGUUCCUAGAAGCCGGCGACGCUGCAACAAGUGGAACCUGCUGUUCGCGAGCCUUGGGCCUGCAGCCACGAGGGAAACCCGAGACAUAGGCAGAAAUGGAAGGCCGCGCACACUUCCGUCCAAGCGUUUGGGACUGUGUUGCUUGACUGUGCCAUUGCUCACAGGUGUACUUGAUUCAUUGAGUCUCAGAAUUUUAAAAAAAUUGUAUCAAAGUGA